Molecule: ribosomal RNA, 497 nt
Filed under: uncultured bacterium
Lineage: Bacteria
Description: partial 16S ribosomal RNA
Rfam family: Bacterial small subunit ribosomal RNA
Source: RNAcentral
GAUGAACGCUGGCGGCGUGCCUAAUACAUGCAAGUCGAGCGAACGGACGAGAAGCUUGCUUUUCUGAUGUUAGCGGCGGACGGGUGAGUAACACGUGGAUAACCUACCUAUAAGACUGGGAUAACUUCGGGAAACCGGAGCUAAUACCGGAUAAUAUUUUGAACCGCAUGGUUCAAAAGUGAAAGACGGUCUUGCUGUCACUUAUAGAUGGAUCCGCGCUGCAUUAGCUAGUUGGUAAGGUAACGGCUUACCAAGGCAACGAUGCAUAGCCGACCUGAGAGGGUGAUCGGCCACACUGGAACUGAGACACCGUCCAGACUCCUACGGGAGGCAGCAGUAGGGAAUCUUCCGCAAUGGGCGAAAGCCUGACGGAGCAACGCCGCGUGAGUGAUGAAGGUCUUCGGAUCGUAAAACUCUGUUAUUAGGGAAGAACAUAUGUGUAAGUAACUGUGCACAUCUUGACGGUACCUAAUCAGAAAGCCACGGCUAACUACGUG